UCUAGGACUCUUUUUUGAAGACAUAAGAUCUUGUGAGUCCUCGAAUCCUUGUGAUGCCAAAUAAGAUCAUGCUACAAUUUUGCAAAUGCAUAUAUGUGAUGCCUUCGUAUUCAGUGAGAAUUUGUUCUAUUUCUAACAAAAGUCAAAUACCAAGGUAUUGAUAAUGUAAUUCAAUUUUAUUUUCGUUUAUUCUUUAGAGUAUAUUUUCAUGAAUCAAUAUCAAAAUAAUUUUGAUUUGUGAUAUUAAUAGUGAAAUUUUAUUCAUCAUAUUUAAUUUUGUUCCUUAUUUGUUAAUGUGAUGGUGAAAACGCUUUUUAAUGUGAUGUUGUUCUUUAGGUAUACUUUUUAUCUUUAAGUUUUACAUUAUUUUUUUUAUAAAAGUUCUAUGAAUCUUAAUCUUAAUAAAUAAGACUCCAAAAUAAAAGGCCUACACUUGACAGAAAGGACAACUUGAAGGAGAAUGGUGGCAGCGUGUCCAACAACGUGAAGGAGAAUAGUGGCAUAAAAAAAUCCUUAACCCGUUGGAAUUAAUUUAGGAUUAGCGAUAUAAUUGGAUUAGUUUGUAGAGUUAAUUCUUAUACUAACUAAAUUUAUGGCUUUAUAUAUUAAAGUCAUUUACAUUAGUGACACUUUAGGUUUAGGACUAUAUAUUCUAUCGAAAUUGUCGUGAGGUACAAAGAUAAUGUUUUUUGUAAUUUUUGUUAUGUUACUAUCGAUUAUUUUUUGCUUAAUUCAGGUAAUAGAUGAUUGUUUGAUCAGCCUUUGAUAAUUUUUUGCGUAAAAGUUAAAUUUAAUCAUAUUAUAUAUAUAUAUAUUUUAAUUAUUAUUUAUUUAUUAUUAUUAUAUUUUAAGUGUCCAUACACAUGAAAAUUUUACUUAUUUUCUGCAGCUUUUGGUUUUCUUGAUUGCUUUUCUUCUCCAAUGAUUCAAUUUUAUGCCAAUUGACAAAUUAAUCCGUUUAUAUCAACAUCAUAUGUAGAUGUAAUACUUUUUCCUUUUUAGCUAAUGUAGAUGUUAUACAAUGUUAACAAGAAUUAAUGACAAAGUUGAUAUAAAAUAAAAUUAAUAACAAAAGUUGAAUAAAACUUCAUAUGUUAUUUCAUUCUUUGUUUUUGUCUCUAUAAAUAACAUUUGAUUUUUUUUUUCUUUUUAGAUUUUGAUUCCCAUUUUUAAGUCACUACAAAGUCAAGAAUUCGAGAUCCCAAAUUAUUUAAUGAUCAAUGAUAUGAAUUUUACUGAUACUCACUAUAUAUUGUUUGGUGACUGCAUCAAGCUCGAUAUUCUUGGCAAUUCGUAAUUUACUCUUAACUAUAGUUAUCUCUCAAUAUAUUUUUCUCCUCUGUCAAUUUUUCUGUAUAUUGUUAUCUAAAGUAUUAGGUUGUGAAGUUUGAAUGAAUUGAAGAUAUAAUGACGUGUAAUUUUUUUCUGCGAUGCGUUUGAAAAAUUAUUUGCAUUUUUCUUGCAGGUGAAAGUAACUUGCAUAUUUUAUAACUUUAUUGGUUGGAUGAUCCACUUGAUUUGUUGUUGUUGUUUUUGUAUUAAUAAGAUGAUCCUACCUAUUGUGCAAGCACACAACUUAAGAUUUCAAGCAAUAAAGGGAUGUCGGAGCUAAAGUAUGAUUACCAUCAAUUUAACUUCUUCUGGGAGAAAGUCUUUGAAAAAGUACACUGAUUAGUUGUGAUAACGGGAUUUGAAUGUGGUAACAAAUCUAUUUUUAUUUGACAG
This 1725-nucleotide long non-coding RNA is filed under the name Capsicum annuum. RNAcentral describes it as "long non-coding RNA (CANN_LNC009381)". Lineage: Eukaryota; Viridiplantae; Streptophyta; Magnoliopsida; Solanales; Solanaceae. The record is from RNAcentral.